CGACUCUCGACAACGGAUAUCCCGGCUCUCGCAUCGAUGAAGAACGUAGCGAAAUGCGAUACUUGGUGUGAAUUGCAGAAUCCCGUGAACCAUCGAGUCUUUGAACGCAAGUUGCGCCCGAAGCCAUCAGGCCGAGGGCACGUCUGCCUGGGAGUCACGC
This 160-nucleotide ribosomal RNA is filed under the name Pimpinella alismatifolia. RNAcentral describes it as "5.8S ribosomal RNA". It matches the Rfam family "5.8S ribosomal RNA". From Rfam's summary of the family: 5.8S ribosomal RNA (5.8S rRNA) is a component of the large subunit of the eukaryotic ribosome. It is transcribed by RNA polymerase I as part of the 45S precursor that also contains 18S and 28S rRNA. Lineage: Eukaryota; Viridiplantae; Streptophyta; Magnoliopsida; Apiales; Apiaceae. The record is from RNAcentral.